ACUCCAGACUCCUACGGGAGGCAGCAGUGAGGAAUAUUGGUCAAUGGUCGGGAGACUGAACCAGCCAAGUCGCGUGAGGGAAGACGGUCCUAUGGAUUGUAAACCUCUUUUGCCGGGGAGCAAAAAGCGGUACGUGUACCGCAUCGAGAGUACCCGGAGAAAAAGCAUCGGCUAACUCCGUGCCAGCAGCCGCGGUAAUACGGAGGAUGCGAGCGUUAUCCGGAUUUAUUGGGUUUAAAGGGUGCGUAGGCGGGCUGUAAAGUCAGGGGUAAAGGCCCGGGGCUCACCCCCGGCGAGCCGUUGAAACUGGCUGUCUUGAGAUGUCGAGAGGUAUGCGGAAUGCGCAGUGUAGCGGUGAAAUGCUUAGAUAUUGCGCAGAACUCCGAUUGCGAAGGCAGCAUACCGGCGGCGAUCUGACGCUGAGGCACGAAAGCGUGGGUAUCGAACAGGAUUAGAUACCCCGGUACA
RNAcentral lists this ribosomal RNA (468 nucleotides) under uncultured bacterium. RNAcentral's name for it is "bacterial SSU rRNA". It matches the Rfam family "Bacterial small subunit ribosomal RNA", at positions 328 to 794 of the family's 1533-position model. The record is from RNAcentral.